RNAcentral lists this long non-coding RNA (786 nucleotides) under Homo sapiens (human). RNAcentral describes it as "HCFC1 antisense RNA 1 (HCFC1-AS1)". The record is from RNAcentral. Lineage: Eukaryota; Metazoa; Chordata; Mammalia; Primates; Hominidae.
UUGCAUUUCCCUGCCAGGGAGCCUGCUCCAGGCCUUAUGAGAAGAAAGUCGGUCCACAGAGUGGAGAAGGUGCUGCUCAUGGUGACGGUGCCUCUAUAAACAGCCCCACCACUGGAGAAGCCUUAGCUUACUGAGCUAAUUCCUGCUACUGCAGCUGCCUGGGCUGGCGCGGGGCACCACCAACCACCAAGCGCCCCCGCCCGGGGGCUGCUGAGAAAGGCCCUGCUCCCUGGAGGCAACAGGUGCUGAGAGACCUGGAACGAAAAACGGUCACAGACAACCCACCAGCCUUUCAAAGUCAACGUGGCAGCUCCAGCUUCCCACCCCCAGAGCAUCGAGGCACUGGAGCUCAGCCAAAGAACAGCAGCCUCUCACCGCUCAGGACACAAAGCCCACUCAGCGAGGGUUUGUCUGCAGGGCCACCACCGAGGCCAGGGGAUCGCUAGAGCCCCCAGGAGAGAACGGCCGCGGAGCAAGGGGGAGGCAGAAGAGCGGGUGGGGUAACCCCCUGGAUCCGCAGAAGCGGGGAGACACACGACUACGCAGGCCGCUGAGGGGUAACUGGAAUUCAGCUUGUAAACCAGAAGGCACCAGAUUAGGAGAAGGGGCGACUUGGAAAGAAAUGCUGCAGAAGUAAACGUGGAAAGGGAGAGGCGGCCCUGCCGCCGGCCCGUCCUAGGGGUCCCCAAGGCUCCGGCAUUACCCGGGUCGGCGGAUGUUAAACUCUGCGUCCUAAGAGCGCUUCCCUUCCCUCCCUUUUUCGAGAGACAGAGAACGAAUCUGUAA